CCUUAUUUCUCUCUCUAGAAAUUUCUCUUUCUAGAAAGGUCUUUCAGCUCCUUUUUGCAACAAUGGUGGCCUCUUCUCUGCUCACUUCAGCCUUUAUACUAUCUUCAACCUGAGCUUCAUCUCUCUCUAUUUCUUCUUCUCUGUCGUUUUUGGCUCUGUAAAGAGAAGUGAACGCGAAAUGCCGCCAUUGGAGUUGGAUUUAGAUCUAACUUUUCACUAAUUUUAUCUGUGGAAGGGAGCUUGUGGAUGAUAAAUUAGUAUUAUUAGGCGUUUUCUUGUGGUUUGAGGCGUGAGCAGGAAGUUAAGCUGGGUUUUAGGUUUUGUUUGUUUUUAUUGUUCGAUCUGUGAUUUGUUGUGACUGUUUUAUUUUUGUCUGAACUGGAGAGAGAGCGAGGGGUUCAGAUUUGUGGAAAUGAAUCGUAGUUUUAGGGCUCAGGACACGCAAAUGCAAAUGGCAGCGGCGGCGGUGAAGCAACGACAACAGUUGAGAGCGUCAAUGAUGAAGGAGAAGGAAGAGGAGCUCGCGUUGUUUCUGGAAAUGAAGAAGCGCGAGAAGGAGCAGAAUAAUCUCCUCCUGAAUAAUAAUGAAGAGUUUGAUGCACCUUUAGGGUCGAAACCGGGUACUUCUCCUAUAUUUAAUAUUUCAUCUACCACCAUACCUGGGAGGAAAGCCGGUGGCGCUGAUGAUUUUCUCGAUUCUGAAAGUGAUAAAAAUGACUACGACUGGCUUCUAACACCUCCUGAUACCCCUUUGUUUCCUUCUUUGGAGAUGGAAUCACAAAAGACUGUGAUGAGUCAGAGUGGUACUCCAAAGGCCCGCCCCACUGCCCUUAAAUCUAGACUAGCAAACCCUCAGCCAGAUCCUGCUGCAAGGGGCAACUUAGUAUCUAAACAAUCAGCUUCCUCCCCUGGGUUGAACUCCUCUGGUGCAGGGAUGCGCAGGCCUUCAUCAUCAGGUGGUCCAGGAUCACGACCUGCAACA
RNAcentral lists this unclassified non-coding RNA (982 nucleotides) under Hevea brasiliensis (rubber tree). The record is from RNAcentral. Lineage: Eukaryota; Viridiplantae; Streptophyta; Magnoliopsida; Malpighiales; Euphorbiaceae.